CAGCUGGGUCACUGACUGACUAAAAGCUAUACAGUGUGGCAGAUAAAUUCUGAGAAACAGAGGCUCACAGAAUCUAGAACUACAGUUCCAGAAUGACAGUUACAUAAUACACUGUAGUAAUUUCAAUAAAGAGAAAUUAUAGCUAAAUAAACAAGAUAUUUUAAGUUAUUAUUUUGUUUUUCUCCAAAAGGUCGUUACUGAAGAAAAACUAAUUUCUUGAACAUGUUUUCCUAUCUUCUGUCACAGGGGCGUGAGAAAGAUCCUACUUUUUACUAUACUGCAAGGAAGAAGAGCGCAACAAAGCAGAAAAGAGAAGGAUGUAUUCCGCGUCUGGGUUUAGCUGGUACAAAUUGGAAUAGAUUAAUAAUAUUCUCAGAUGUUCCUGGUCACCUGUGGGCCACUUUGGCAGUGAACAUUGAUGUUACUCCUGACAUUCACUGCAGAUGAAGAAAUAAAUGUUUAGAUCAUAACA
This 472-nucleotide long non-coding RNA is filed under the name Coturnix japonica (Japanese quail). Its description in RNAcentral is "lncRNA (ENSCJPG00005004605.1)". Lineage: Eukaryota; Metazoa; Chordata; Aves; Galliformes; Phasianidae. The record is from RNAcentral.